UGGGUAGUCCGCACGAGCGCACCUUACUUUUAGUUGCUACCAUUCAGUUGGGCACUCUAAAAGAACUGCCAGUGAUAAGCUGGAGGAAGGUGGGGAUGACGUCAAGUCCUCAUGGCCCUUAUGUGUUGGGCUACACACGUGCUACAAUGGUAUUUACAGUGGGAUGCAAAGAGGCAACUCCAAGCUAACCCUCAAAAAUACCUCAGUUCGGAUUGUACUCUGCAACUCGAGUACAUGAAGCUGGAAUUACUAGUAAUCGCGGAUCAGCGCGCUGCGGUGAAUACGUUCCCGGGUCUUGUACACACCGCCCGUCACACCAUGGAAGUUGGUUACACCUUAAGGCAAAGUGUAAAAUCUUUGACUACGGUACGAUCAGCGACUGGGGUGAAGUCGUAACAAGGUAGCCGUAGGGGAACCUGCGGCUGGAUCACCUCCUUUCU
RNAcentral lists this ribosomal RNA (440 nucleotides) under uncultured Pelagibacterales bacterium. RNAcentral describes it as "bacterial SSU rRNA". It matches the Rfam family "Bacterial small subunit ribosomal RNA", at positions 1077 to 1533 of the family's 1533-position model. The record is from RNAcentral. Lineage: Bacteria; Pseudomonadati; Pseudomonadota; Alphaproteobacteria; Candidatus Pelagibacterales.